This 469-nucleotide ribosomal RNA is filed under the name uncultured bacterium. RNAcentral describes it as "partial 16S ribosomal RNA". It matches the Rfam family "Bacterial small subunit ribosomal RNA", at positions 28 to 507 of the family's 1533-position model. The record is from RNAcentral.
GACGAACGCUGGCGGCGUGCUUAACACAUGCAAGUCGAACGGUGAAGCGAGUGCUUGCACUCGUGGAUCAGUGGCGAACGGGUGAGUAACACGUGAGUAACCUGCCCAUCACUCUGGGAUAAGCACUGGAAACGGUGUCUAAUACUGGAUACGACCAACCCUUGCAUGGGGUGUUGGUGGAAAGAUUUAUCGGUGAUGGAUGGACUCGCGGCCUAUCAGCUUGUUGGCGGGGUAAUGGCCCACCAAGGCGACGACGGGUAGCCGGCCUGAGAGGGUGACCGGCCACACUGGGACUGAGACACGGCCCAGACUCCUACGGGAGGCAGCAGUGGGGAAUAUUGCACAAUGGGCGAAAGACUGAUGCAGCGACGCCGCGUGAGGGAUGACGGCCUUCGGGUUGUAAACCUCUUUCAGCAGGGAAGAAGCGAAAGUGACGGUACCUGCAGAAGAAGCACCGGCUAACUACGUG